UCGAGAAUUUUUCACAAUGGGCGCAAGCCUGAUGGAGCGACGCCGCGUGGGGGAUGAAUGGCUUCGGCCCGUAAACCCCUGUCAUUUGCGAUCAACCGUUAUUAUUUAAAAGAUGAUGACCUGAUAGUAGCGAAAGAGGAAGGGACGGCUAACUCUGUGCCAGCAGCCGCGGUAAUACAGAGGUCCCAAGCGUUGUUCGGAUUCACUGGGCGUAAAGGGUGCGUGGGUGGCGAGGUAAGUCGGAUGUGAAAUCUCCAAGCUCAACUUGGAAAAUGCAUUGGAAACUACCUUGCUCGAGGUUUGGAGGGGGGACUGGAAUACUUGGUGUAGCAGUGAAAUGCGUAGAUAUCAAGUGGAACACCAGUGGCGAAAGCGAGUCCCUGGACGACUCCUGACACUGAGGCACGAAAGCUAGGGGAGCAAACA
This 426-nucleotide ribosomal RNA is filed under the name uncultured prokaryote. RNAcentral's name for it is "bacterial SSU rRNA". It matches the Rfam family "Bacterial small subunit ribosomal RNA", at positions 355 to 774 of the family's 1533-position model. The record is from RNAcentral.